RNAcentral lists this long non-coding RNA (252 nucleotides) under Musa acuminata (dwarf banana). RNAcentral's name for it is "long non-coding RNA (MACU_LNC011462)". Lineage: Eukaryota; Viridiplantae; Streptophyta; Magnoliopsida; Zingiberales; Musaceae. The record is from RNAcentral.
GGAUCAAGAGCACUAAGAGGGGGGGGGGUGAAUUAGUGCAGCAGAAAACUUUCGACGAUUAAAAUCGCGUUCGUACGAUAAGAGCGAUUUCGGUAGAAAAUCCGAUUCGUAAAUCACUUUAACUUGUAACCAAGCAAGAUGCAGUUAAAGCAAAGAUAUAAAGGCAGUUUGCAGUUAUGAUAGAAAUCAGAACGUAAACGCAAACUAAAAUAUGAUGUUCGUACGAUAAAAAUGAUUUACGUCUAAACGCCG